UUCCAAGGGUGAUACCCCCGCACCUUGAGAACGCCUAAAGCUCUCUUCUAUUACGAAAUCGCAGCUCUGCGCAAAAUUGGCCACCGCCUAUUCAGAAUCGCCAAAGUUCGACGAUGGCAACUUUGAGGGUUGCCCAGCCUAUAUCACCGCCGCUAGGCCGUAGACCCCCAUCCCCUAGCUCAAACUCAUCAACAACGGGAAAACCCAUUGUGAAUUUGUUAGCUUCACCGAGCCAAAGUUCUCAUAGCUCUGAAAAACCUUGCCGUCUUUGACUCCCCAAUUCCAGUGACUCAGUCUUUACGCUGAAUUCCUGUCCUACUGCUGGUCUACUAAAUGAAAAGGAAAAAGAAAAAGAAAAGGUCUCCAUUUCGUCCUCACCAUCGACCGCUCGCUCGUAUCCUUCCACUCAAACAUAGCAAAAGGUCAUUGCCGUUGCUGAACUCGCUCAUUUCAUUUUUCAAAAUUUCGAACUCGUGGACAAUUGCUACUCACCGAUCCUCGAAUCUCAAAAUCUUAUUCCUGACCGCAUCCAACCCACGAAGCUACUAUUUCAACAUAAGACCGUUAUCUCUGUGAAUGGAUUCUCCUUGGGCAGAGGGAUAAUUAAUGAUAGCCGCCUCAUACAACCACCAUUACCUACCGCUUCAGCUAAAUUCUCAUCGCCUUUUGCCGAAGGUGGUCGAUGGCUCCAUCUUCACAAGACUGUAGUCGUUCCCUCUCAAGCCCGACUGAACAUGGUAGGGGCAAUCGAGCCUUAAUUUCCCAUCCAACUCAAAGAUCAUCGCUGACAUGCCCUUUCACCGAAAUUCGGUAGAAUGAAAUAGGCUAGUCAGCCCUCUCUUACCAAAAAGCUAACGUAAUUAAGUUCUCAAAACAUCUUGUGUUAAUAAUAUAAAAAUCAAAGUAUAAAAUCAAAGUAUGCAAAGGAAAACUCCGAGGCAAAACUCAAAGUAUUCAAAAGCGCAAUCCAAACUAUUCAAAGUGAAACUCAAAG
RNAcentral lists this long non-coding RNA (994 nucleotides) under Salvia miltiorrhiza (redroot sage). Its description in RNAcentral is "long non-coding RNA (SMIL_LNC002710)". The record is from RNAcentral. Lineage: Eukaryota; Viridiplantae; Streptophyta; Magnoliopsida; Lamiales; Lamiaceae.